CUAUGGGUCACCGUUCGGCCUUCAACAAUGAACAAAGCCCAUACCGCAUAGUCAGCUUUAAAAGGCCCUGAUAAGACAAUGUAAAACAAUUCAAACGAGAAAACUAACGGCCUUAUUUAUGUAAAAAAAAAAAAAAAAAUGAACGAAAAACAAAUAUGUAACACAUAAACAAACGACAACCACUGAAUUACAGGCUCCUGACUUGGGACAG
This 211-nucleotide long non-coding RNA is filed under the name Mytilus galloprovincialis (Mediterranean mussel). The record is from RNAcentral. Lineage: Eukaryota; Metazoa; Mollusca; Bivalvia; Mytilida; Mytilidae.